GCCUGGAUAGCUCAAUUGGUAGAGCAUAAGACUUUUAAUCUGAAGGUCCAGGGGUCAAGUCCUUGUCCAGGUG
Transfer RNA from Scleropages formosus (Asian bonytongue), 73 nucleotides. It matches the Rfam family "tRNA". Rfam says of the family: Transfer RNA (tRNA) molecules are approximately 80 nucleotides in length. Their secondary structure includes four short double-helical elements and three loops (D, anti-codon, and T loops). NCBI's taxonomy places the organism in Eukaryota, Metazoa, Chordata, Actinopteri, Osteoglossiformes, Osteoglossidae. The record is from Rfam.